Molecule: ribosomal RNA, 497 nt
Filed under: uncultured bacterium
Lineage: Bacteria
Description: partial 16S ribosomal RNA
Rfam family: Bacterial small subunit ribosomal RNA
Source: RNAcentral
GAUGAACGCUGGCGGCGUGCCUAAUACAUGCAAGUCGAGCGAACAGACGAGGAGCUUGCUCCUCUGACGUUAGCGGCGGACGGGUGAGUAACACGUGGAUAACCUCCCUAUAAGACUGGGAUCACUUCGGGAAACCGGAGCUAAUACCGGAUAAUAUAUUGAACCGCAUGGUUCAAUAGUGAAAGACGGUUUUGCUGUCACUUAUCGAUGGAUCCGCGCCUCAUUAGCUAGUUGGUAAGGUAACGGCUUACCAAGGCAACGAUGCGUAGCCGACCUGAGAGGGUGAUAGGCCACACUGGAACUGAGACACGGUCCAGACUCCUACGGGAGGCAGCAGUAGGGAAUCUGACGCAAUGGGCGAAAGCCUGACGGAGCAACGCCGCGUGAGUGAUGAAAGUCUUCGGAUCGUAAAACUCUGUUAUUAGGGAAGAACAAAUGUGUAAGUAACUAUGCACGUAUUGACGGUAACUAAUCAGAAAGCCACGGCUAACUACGUG